RNAcentral lists this ribosomal RNA (464 nucleotides) under uncultured archaeon. RNAcentral describes it as "bacterial SSU rRNA". It matches the Rfam family "Archaeal small subunit ribosomal RNA", at positions 377 to 842 of the family's 1478-position model. The record is from RNAcentral.
AAUCCUGAGUGCUUAUGUAUAACAUGGGCUUUUGCCAAGGGUAAAUACCUUGGAGAAUAAGUGGUGGGCAAGACUGGUGCCAGCAGCCGCGGUAACACCAGCGCCACAAGUGGGGACCUCUAUUAUUGGGCCUAAAGCGUUCGUAGCUGGAUUAGUAAAUCUUUUGUGAAAUCGUCAAGCUCAACUUGACGGCAUGCAGAAGACACUGCUUUUCUUGAGACCGGGAGGGGUUAGGAGUAUUUCUAGGGAACUGGUAAAAUGGGAUAAUCCUAGAGAGACUACCUGUGGCGAAGGCGCCUAACCAGAACGGGUCUGACAGUGAGGGACGAAGGCUAGGGGAGCGAGCCGGAUUAGAUACCCGAGUAGUCCUAGCAGUAAACGCUGCGAGCAAGGUGUUGCAUAUUCUAUGUGAAUGUGCAGUGUCGUAAUGAAGAUGUUAAGCUCGCCGCCUGGGAAGUAUGGUC